GCCCUUAGGUUUAAUUAAAGGUGCAACCUGCCCUAUGGUUUUUUCAUCUUUUUUAAUUAAAAGUAAAACUAAAACUAAAUGGCCGCGGUAACUCUGACCGUGAUAAUGUAGCGAAAUCAAUUGUCGUUUAAUUGACGACCAGUAUGAAUGGUUAAACGAAUUUUCCACUGUCUCCGCGAUGAGUUUAAUGAAUUUAAAAUAAUAGUGAAGAUGCUAUUUGAUGAUUGUAAGACGAGAAGACCCUAUAGAGCUUAACUAUAAUCUUUAACCACAUAACGAUAAAUUAUUUGUUUAAAUUAAAGAUUGGUAGUUUGGUUGGGGCGACCAUCUUCUAAAAGUAACGAAGAUAAGCAACGAUAUAUAAAAAUCUUUAUUUAACUGUAUAAUUAAUAGAUUUAACAGAUAUUAAAAUAGGUAAAUUGACCCGUUUAUUUUUUAAAAGAAAAAUAACGAUUAAUAAAUAAAAGCUACCUUAGGGAUAACAGCGUAAUCUUAUUUAAGAGUUCUUAUCGACAAUAAGGUUUGCGACCUCGAUGUUGAAUUGCGAUAACCUGAGGGUGCAGCAGCUCUCAAAGGUUGGUCUGUUCGACCAUUAAAAUCGU
RNAcentral lists this ribosomal RNA (602 nucleotides) under Liriope tetraphylla. Its description in RNAcentral is "partial large subunit ribosomal RNA". It matches the Rfam family "Bacterial large subunit ribosomal RNA", at positions 1830 to 2597 of the family's 2925-position model. Lineage: Eukaryota; Metazoa; Cnidaria; Hydrozoa; Limnomedusae; Geryoniidae. The record is from RNAcentral.